AGAACUUAGCAGAGAUGCUUUGGUGCCUUCGGGAACUCUGAGACAGGUGCUGCAUGGCUGUCGUCAGCUCGUGUUGUGAAAUGUUGGGUUAAGUCCCGCAACGAGCGCAACCCUUAUCCUUUGUUGCCAGCGAUUCGGUCGGGAACUCAAAGGAGACUGCCAGUGAUAAACUGGAGGAAGGUGGGGAUGACGUCAAGUCAUCAUGGCCCUUACGAGUAGGGCUACACACGUGCUACAAUGGCGCAUACAAAGAGAAGCGACCUCGCGAGAGCAAGCGGACCUCAUAAAGUGCGUCGUAGUCCGGAUUGGAGUCUGCAACUCGACUCCAUGAAGUCGGAAUCGCUAGUAAUCGUAGAUCAGAAUGCUACGGUGAAUACGUUCCCGGGCCUUGUACACACCGCCCGUCACACCAUGGGAGUGGGUUGCAAAAGAAGUAGGUAGCUUAACUUUCGGGAGGGCGCUUACCCCUUUGUGAUUCAUGACUGGGGUGAAGUCGUAACAAGGUAGGCGUAGUGCU
RNAcentral lists this ribosomal RNA (517 nucleotides) under uncultured bacterium. RNAcentral's name for it is "bacterial SSU rRNA". It matches the Rfam family "Bacterial small subunit ribosomal RNA", at positions 992 to 1509 of the family's 1533-position model. The record is from RNAcentral.